Molecule: long non-coding RNA, 870 nt
Organism: Camelina sativa (false flax)
Lineage: Eukaryota; Viridiplantae; Streptophyta; Magnoliopsida; Brassicales; Brassicaceae
Source: RefSeq, a predicted model, not a curated record
UCUCCCCCAUCUCUUUUGCGACACCAUUCUUUCACUUCCCCAAAUUCUCAUAUUUGCGAUUAACCAAUAUUUGCGACACCGUUCUUUCUCUUUCUUUGCUUUUUUUGAUUAAACAAUCUUCAGUUGGAGGUGAGGAUCAGAAGAACACAUCAGAGGUUCUGAUCUAUCGAAGAGGUGAUGAUUGACUCGUUGAGAGUUUUUUUCCACCAAAUCAAAGCGUUCCUUCACUGCUUUUCGAGAAUUUGCUGAACCAAUCUCCAUCUGAUGGUGCUAUUGGGAAAAAGAGCUCAAAGUAAUGAAAAGCUUCAUAAUUUUUUGGAUAAGGUGAAGGCACAAACCCAAAGAGCUGAAGGUUGUUGAAGCUCAUUGCCAUCUAGGCUUUACCAUUACAAAGGUGGAUAUAUUCAGAGGUGAUGCAGUCUUAUGGUAGAAUUCAUUUGAUCACCUUCGGCGUCAAGGCUUUGACUGUUUGAUCUACGUAACAUGGAGAAUGGUUCAAGGUUUUCUCAUUCGCUAGAUCUUGAUUAUUGUCGUGUCAUGUCUGUUAUAAUCUCCGCAGAUCAGUACAUGGAUCACCAUCCAGCGGGUGGAACUCAAAUCGUUUGGUGGGUGAUGAAGAAGGAGAACCAGCAAGAUUACUUUGAUUGAGCAAAACCUGUAAUCAGCCCCCACUUGUGUUGCCUCGUUAGACUCUACUGCAGAUGUCUACGGUCACGGAUGAUGCUUUUGUUUAUCAGUGAUGGCUUUAACUGAUUGUCCUCUGACGUUCUUAUGUUGCCCAUAACUGAUUAAAUUUGUUUUAUGUUUCUGUUUCAUGUAUGUGCUGCUAUCAUGAUCAUAAAUUUUUUUUUUUUCAAAAAUAAGAAUCCC